This 253-nucleotide ribosomal RNA is filed under the name uncultured bacterium. RNAcentral's name for it is "partial 16S ribosomal RNA". It matches the Rfam family "Bacterial small subunit ribosomal RNA", at positions 524 to 776 of the family's 1533-position model. The record is from RNAcentral.
UACGUAGGGUGCAAGCGUUUUCCGGAUUUAUUGGGUUUAAAGGGUGCGUAGGUGGCUGAUUAAGUCAUGGGUGAAAGCCCGCAGCUCAACUGUGGAAUUGCCUGUGAUACUGAUUAGCUUGAGUGCGGUUGAGGCAGCUGGAAUUGGUGGUGUAGCGGUGAAAUGCAUAGAUACCACCAGGAACGCCGAUUGCGAAGGCAGGUUGCUAAGCCGUAACUGACGCUGAGGCACGAAAGCGUGGGGAGCAAACAGG